This 497-nucleotide ribosomal RNA is filed under the name uncultured bacterium. Its description in RNAcentral is "partial 16S ribosomal RNA". It matches the Rfam family "Bacterial small subunit ribosomal RNA", at positions 28 to 507 of the family's 1533-position model. The record is from RNAcentral.
GAUGAACGCUGGCGGCGUGCCUAAUACAUGCAAGUCGAGCGAACAGACGAGGAGCUUGCUCCUCUGACGUUAGCGGCGGACGGGUGAGUAACACGUGGAUAACCUACCUAUAAGACUGGGAUAACUUCGGGAAACCGGAGCUAAUACCGUAUAAUAUAUUGAACCUCAUGGUUCAAUAGUGAAAGACGGUUUUGCUGUCACUUAUAGAUGGAUCCGCGCCGCAUUAGCUAGUUGGUAAGGUAACGGCUUACCAAGGCAACGAUGCGUAGCCGACCUGAGAGGGUGAUCGGCCACACUGGAACUGAGACACGGUCCAGACUCCUACGGGAGGCAGCAGUAGGGAAUCUUCCGCAAUGGGCGAAAGCCUGACGGAGCAACGCCGCGUGAGUGAUGAAGGUCUUCGGAUCGUAAAACUCUGUUAUUAGGGAAGAACAAAUGUGUAAGUAACUAUGCACGUCUUGACGGUACCUAAUCAGAAAGCCACGGCUAACUACGUG